RNAcentral lists this ribosomal RNA (198 nucleotides) under uncultured bacterium. Its description in RNAcentral is "partial 16S ribosomal RNA". It matches the Rfam family "Bacterial small subunit ribosomal RNA", at positions 1304 to 1500 of the family's 1533-position model. The record is from RNAcentral.
UCUGCAACCCGACUCCAUGAAGCUGGAUUCGCUAGUAAUCGCGCAUCAGCCACGGCGCGGUGAAUACGUUCCCGGGCCUUGUACACACCGCCCGUCACACCAUGGGAGUCGGUAACACCCAAAGUUGGUAGCCUAACCGCAAGGAGGGCGCCGCCUAAGGUGGGAUUGAUGACUGGGGUGAAGUCGUAACAAGGUAAC